AUGCUAGAUCUAUUUUAUUUUGUUAAGGAGAAAGGGAUGCCUUGAUUGUCGUAUUGAUUUUCUUCUUCUUUUUGUUCCAAAAGAUUGAAACUGAAGAGCUGGAAGGAGGACAUUACAACAUCUCUUAUAUUUGCAAGAUGAAGCAGAAAGUCCCAUGCAGGAUGAUGCCUCUCUACAGUGGAUGAUGAAGGCAUUCUGGUUUGCAAACUCAGGAGAGGAACAAAGAACAGAUGUUGACGGGAUCAUAUCUAGAGAUGCGGGCCUACUACACUUCAUACGAGCAAGUGUGCUAAUAUACAUGAAGACUUGGGUUAUAUUUUUUUCUGAAAACUAGGCUACAACUUUAGUGAUGGAUGCAGAAGAUAUCUACAUGAGACUACGUCUUAAA
This 388-nucleotide long non-coding RNA is filed under the name Strongylocentrotus purpuratus (purple sea urchin). RNAcentral describes it as "uncharacterized LOC105437434". The record is from RNAcentral. Lineage: Eukaryota; Metazoa; Echinodermata; Echinoidea; Camarodonta; Strongylocentrotidae.